GAUGAAGAACGUAGCGAAAUGCGAUAAGUAAUGUGAAUUGCAGAAUUCAGUGAAUCAUCGAAUCUUUGAACGCACAUUGCGCCCGCCAGUAUUCUGGCGGGCAUGCCUGUUCGAGCGUCAUUACAACCCUCAGGCCCCCGGGCCUGGCGUUGGGGAUCGGCGGAGCCCCCCGUGGGCACACGCCGUCCCCCAAAUGCAGUGGCGGUCCCGCCGCAGCUUCCAUCGCGUAGUAGCUAACACCUCGCGACUGGAGAGCGGCGCGGCCACGCCGUAAAACACCCAACUCUUCUGAAGUUGAGCUCGAAUCAGGUAGGAAUACCCGCUGAACUUAAGCAUAUCAAUAAGCGGAGGA
Molecule: unclassified non-coding RNA, 352 nt
Filed under: soil metagenome
Description: partial contains 5.8S ribosomal RNA, internal transcribed spacer 2, and large subunit ribosomal RNA
Rfam family: 5.8S ribosomal RNA (bases 1-120)
Source: RNAcentral